Molecule: ribosomal RNA, 373 nt
Filed under: uncultured Bacteroidota bacterium
Lineage: Bacteria; Pseudomonadati; Bacteroidota
Description: bacterial SSU rRNA
Rfam family: Bacterial small subunit ribosomal RNA
Source: RNAcentral
UAAUACGGAGGAUCCAGGCGUUAUCCGGAUUUAUUAGGUUUAAAGGGUGCGUAGGCGGGAUAAUAAGUCAGUGGUGAAAGCCUGCAGCUUAACUGUAGAAUUGCCAUUGAAACUGUUAUCCUUGAGUAUAGUUGAGGUGGGCGGAAUGUGACAUGUAGCGGUGAAAUGCUUAGAUAUGACACAGAACACCGAUUGCGUAGGCAGCUCACUAAACUAUCACUGACGCUGAGGCACGAAAGCGUGGGGAGCGAACAGGAUUAGAUACCCUGGUAGUCCACGCUGUAAACGAUGAUUACUCGUUGUGUGCGAUAUAUUGUACGUGACUGAGCGAAAGCAUUAAGUAAUCCACCUGGGGAGUACGUCGGCAACGAUG